CAUAAAUCAAUAAUAUUCGAGUAUGUCGUGAGCAUGAUGCAAUGCAAAAAGAUUCCUACCUAAACCAUCCAUUACACAGCACGAGUUUCCUAGAACCAGUCUGCCAAACUCCAACGUAUGUGAGUGAAACUUGAUGUGGUAGAAACAACCAUAUAACAUAAAUGCAAAAAAAAAAAAAAUUGUCAAAUAACAUAUAAUGCAAUAAAAUCACCAAUCCCCUAGGUACUCAGGGUGUAGUGCACUAACUACGUAUAAAUGUGGACUUAAUAUGCCGCCAGAACUCCACGGCACUCCUCUGUCAACAACAAAAAUAACC
Molecule: long non-coding RNA, 316 nt
Filed under: Gossypium raimondii (Peruvian cotton)
Lineage: Eukaryota; Viridiplantae; Streptophyta; Magnoliopsida; Malvales; Malvaceae
Description: long non-coding RNA (GRAI_LNC001210)
Source: RNAcentral